RNAcentral lists this ribosomal RNA (253 nucleotides) under uncultured bacterium. Its description in RNAcentral is "partial 16S ribosomal RNA". It matches the Rfam family "Bacterial small subunit ribosomal RNA", at positions 524 to 776 of the family's 1533-position model. The record is from RNAcentral.
UACGAAGGGGACUAGCGUUGUUCGGAAUCACUGGGCGUAAAGCGCACGUAGGCGGAUUCGUAAGUCAGGGGUGAAAUCCCGGGGCUCAACCUCGGAACUGCCUUUGAUACUGCAAGUCUCGAGUCCGAUAGAGGUGGGUGGAAUUCCUAGUGUAGAGGUGAAAUUCGUAGAUAUUAGGAAGAACACCGGUGGCGAAGGCGGCCCACUGGAUCGGUACUGACGCUGAGGUGCGAAAGCGUGGGGAGCAAACAGG